Molecule: long non-coding RNA, 2485 nt
Filed under: Marmota monax (woodchuck)
Lineage: Eukaryota; Metazoa; Chordata; Mammalia; Rodentia; Sciuridae
Source: RNAcentral
CCAACUAGAACCUCUCUGUUGGUCUGAUUGAGGACCCCAGGAGACAGAACCCAUCAUCCUAGGGGGCCCUCUUCCCAGGAGCCCCUGAGCUCACUGUAGCCUAUCAAGUCCUUGGAAGGAAGGUACAUAGUGUGGGAAGAUUGGAGAAAUGAGGCAGGGCUUGGAGCUUAAUUGAGGCUCAAUUUGAAAGGGAUUCAGACUAUACCUGACAGAACCGGGUCAAGAUUGGGCCCUGGCACAGGGAGAAGGGAGAAUGAGGCAGUGUGGUGCAGCACUGAAAGCUCAGGCUAAAGCCCUGGAUUCUGCCGGACCAGCUGUGUAAACUUGGAUGAGCUAUUUCCAUUGUUGGAAUAUUAGUUUCCUCAUGUGUAAAAAUUAGGAAUGUUCCUUGCAUAGGACUAAUUGAAAUUAUGUUAAAUAUUUGGCUUUUUAUCUGGCACCAAGUAUGUGGAGCUGGAUUCGUUCUGAUGGACUGACAGGAAGAUGCUACACUGUUGGAUGGGAAGGUGGCUUUGAACUUACUCAUUCAUCUAUUUGAAAGGACUGAUUGAUGUUCCCAAGGAUGCCGUCAUCACUGCCUUAGGAUCACUGGGGAUGUUAGACCCAGAAGCUAGGUGGAAUAGGCUUCAGGGGCAACUUGAUGUUUGUCUACUCAGAGUAAAGGGAUGAAUGAUGACACCCAGUGGGGAAUGACUGGCACUCCAUGGGGCCAUUCAGUGUGCUAAGGUCACCUCUUUGGCCUGAAUCAUAUGGUCGGUCUGUAUUACACAAAGCAGAGAAGAUGCUAUGUGCUGCUAAACCUUGGUAGGAGAAUCUCACUGAGGGAAGGGGCCUUGGAGACCAGGUUGAGACAGAUCCCAAGGGCUUUGAUGAAGGGCAUAGACUUGCUUAGCCUAGAGGGAAUAAUCUGGGGAUCAUGCAGGCUCAGGAGUCCACCCUGACCUCCUUGGGAGUCAUUGAAGGUAUCUGAGCAAGAGUGGAGAAUAAUUCUGGUGUUCCAGCAUGGAUGAAAGGACUUCUCUCUGCAGAGGGAAGGCCACAACAUCAAGCAUCUGCCUUACCAUUCUUGAGAAAAUGAGCUUUUCUGCUGACACUGGCACCUCUGAAAAACAAAUCAGUAAGAAUAAGGUAACAUUGGUCCUAGGUCCCAGAUCCUGGGGUCUGAGGACUGUUUCUCCUUCUCUGGGAGUCCUGACCCCAACACUACCAAUCUGGAAUUUCUCAAACAAACCCAGAGGAUAGGGUUUCCAGAAAGCUGAUGUGAUCUUGUGUAUCAUACAUAGUGACAGAAAGUCUCAAAUCAGGAAGGUAGUCACCAGCAUGUUCCUCAUUCAGAGUCCACUGAAAUUAUGGUGUCCCACAUAAUAAUAUCAACAACUCAGUAGUUACUCUGUGCCAGGCAUUGAGAAUACAGGAUUUUUUUUAAAAAAAAUAUUUAUUUAUUUAUUUUAGUUUUUUUCGGCAGACACAACAUCUUUGUUUGUAUGUGGUGCUGAGGAUCGAACCUGGGCCGCACGCAUGCCAGGCGGGCGUGCUACCGCUUCAGCCACAUCCCCAGCCCCAGAGAAUACAUGAUUUUAACCACUGUUCAGACCUCUCUUGCUGCUCUGAAGAAAGGAGGGAAGAAAGGAGGCAGUGGUGGAUGCUGUGCUCUGCUUCCCUGAGCCCACCCGUAGGACUGAGGCACCUGACCUUCGGCUCACUAUCUAACCUUGCAUGUCCCUAAGUCCAGCUUUUCUUCUGCUCACUGUUCCUGUAACAGGCUCUGUUUUGGUUCAUGCAAAGCCCCUCUCCCUGAAAUGUUGCCUACCCCCUUUCUCCUAUUGAAUCAUACCAUCCUUUCAAGGCUCAGAAGACUUUCCCCCAUUGUUUCCUGAGCAGACCUGAACUUGGGCUUUGCCACAAAAUCACAUGCUACCCCACUCACUGGGUCACCCUGCCUCCCUGUGAACCUGAGCUUCUUGGGUUCUUUGACUCUGUAGCACCCUGGUCAAUUCCCACACAUUCAGUAUUCAGAAAUUGACCACUAAAGUAUGCCGGGGGAAGGGAGAGUCCAGAGUUUCUUCCUAGGAAAUGCGGGGAAAUUUUGCAUUCACACCCCAGCUUCCUUUGACCUUGAUCCAAAGUGCCCCCUUCUCACUCAGUCCAUGCAGGAUCUGAAAUGUGUACAAGGAUCCUCUUCAAACACUUUACUGAAACCCUCAGAAAACUGGUGCUAGGCUAGGAGUAAGCAGUCUGUGUGUGACCAGAGCCCCUGGACCCAUUUCUCAUUGCCACAGUGUGUCCCCAUUUGGAGAAGUGGAUGAGGAAGUGGCCGUGAGUCAAUGGCCCUGAGGACCUGCCAGGGCCUGCUUAAAACAUUAUGACUUCUGUCCAGUUGGAUCCCAACUGGUCUCUCCACCUACCCCCAUUUACUUUAUUCUCAGUAUAACAACUAGAGCAAUUCUUUAAAAAUAUAACUCUGCCUCAAAACCCUUUAGUGCCU